Molecule: small RNA, 564 nt
Filed under: Stylophora sp. D RA-2016
Lineage: Eukaryota; Metazoa; Cnidaria; Anthozoa; Scleractinia; Pocilloporidae
Description: eukaryotic LSU rRNA
Rfam family: Eukaryotic large subunit ribosomal RNA (bases 335-564)
Source: RNAcentral
GCAGAAUUCAGUGAAUCAUCGAAUCUUUGAACGCAAAUGGCGCUCUUGGGUUCUCCCAGGAGCAUGUCUGUCUGAGUGUCUUUUUCGUUGAAUGACAUUCGCACGAUGUGGCCGUGUCAUGCACUGGCGUUUCGUGCGGCGUUGAGGUUCGCGGCCUUGCUAUUCUUAGGCCGCGUGCCUUUAAAUGGAGGAGGAAGAUGGGCUCAAGGUCCGGUGCAGUCGCAUGCGGAUUCAGUUCAUGUGCCGCAUGUGACUGCUGCACCGGGGAAUAUUGUCCUCGGCCCUCUACCUCGUGACCUUUAGCACGACGCUCGUUCGUUCGUUGCUUGCCGCCAGACCUCAGAUCAGGCAAGGCUACCCGCUGAAUUUAAGCAUAUUAAUAAGCGGAGGAAAAGAAACUAACAAGGAUUCCCCCAGUAACGGCGAGUGAAGCGGGAAGAGCUCAAAUUUGAAAUCUCCGAUGCCUGCAUCGGCGAGUUGUAGUUGCGAGAAGCACUUUCUAGGCGGAAGGGCCCUGCCUAAGUUGCUUGGAACAGCACGUCGCAGAGGGUGACAACCCCGUCU